AAAUGCGCGGACCAAGUCAAACGCGUCGGCUGAACCCCCCAAUUCUGUUUCAUUUUCAUUUGAAAUUCAACCUGUUUCAAAACCUUUUUUUUUUGUUUUUCAAAAAAACAUUUUUAACCUUUAUUCCUUUUUUAAAGAACCAUAAAUGCUUAGGAGUAUGUCUAAACUCCUUCACUUUCCCCUCUGCUUUCCAGCCCCAAAUCCGAUGACAGACGAAGCCCCCCCACAGUGCGAGUACGACGGUUGUGAAGUCGUGGAGACUGAGGGGCAUGGAGUAUGGGUAGAGAACGUGGGCAGUGGUUGAGGGGAGGCAGUAACUGUUUCUUUCUUUUUUUUUCUUUUUUUUUUUUCUGAAAAAUUAGCUUAGUUUUGGGUUGUUUUAUUUUGGGCUUUUUAUUUAGUGUAAUUGGGAUGGUUAUUAUUUGUAAAUGGACUAAUUUAAUGUUUUUUUUUGGUUUUUGUAUAUGUAUGGGCCCGGGCUAAAAAUUAGGUCUACAAUGAUGAUAAAAGAAAGAAUGGGCAUAUAGUCUUAGUAGAUCUAUAAUAUAAAUAUGUUAUAGUGUUAUAAUUAUAGGAACACUCUUAAUGCAAUCUACCUAUGUCAGCGUGAAAUGUGGAUGCUUCAAGGAGCUUAAAGGCUCUAACAACACUCAUGGAAAGAAAUUACAAA
This is a long non-coding RNA of Gossypium arboreum, 670 nucleotides long. RefSeq lists it as uncharacterized. The record is from RefSeq and is a predicted model, not a curated record. The transcript is spliced from 2 exons. Lineage: Eukaryota; Viridiplantae; Streptophyta; Magnoliopsida; Malvales; Malvaceae.